AAGUUCGAAGUAAAGUAGCUCGUGGCAGGAGGGAGUCUGAAAGAGAUUCGGAGAAUAGUCGAUCACUGUAGAAAAUCGACUGAUAGUGAAGCUCAGAAAUCAUUUGGAGUAGCCCGGUAUAUGAAUGGAGGAGCUCAUCAUCGGAGAAGUUCGGAUGGUAUUAUGGAAGCUCGAAUGAUCGAGGGAGUUCAGAAAGAUGCCACACAAGGUCGGA
RNAcentral lists this long non-coding RNA (214 nucleotides) under Elaeis guineensis (African oil palm). RNAcentral describes it as "long non-coding RNA (EGUI_LNC056390)". The record is from RNAcentral. Lineage: Eukaryota; Viridiplantae; Streptophyta; Magnoliopsida; Arecales; Arecaceae.